CAGCAGCCACGGGAAUACGAAGGGGGCUAGCGUUGUUCGGAAUUACUGGGCGUAAAGCGCACGUAGGCGGAUAUUUAAGUCAGGGGUGAAAUCCCGCAGCUCAACUGCGGAACUGCCUUUGAUACUGGGUAUCUUGAGUAUGGAAGAGGUUAGUGGAAUUGCGAGUGUAGAGGUGAAAUUCGUAGAUAUUCGCAGGAACACCAGUGGCGAAGGCGGCUAACUGGUCCAUAACUGACGCUGAGGUGCGAAAGCGUGGGGAGCAAACAGGAUUAGAUACCCGUGUAGUCCCUGUCUCUUAUAC
RNAcentral lists this ribosomal RNA (301 nucleotides) under uncultured bacterium. RNAcentral describes it as "partial 16S ribosomal RNA". It matches the Rfam family "Bacterial small subunit ribosomal RNA", at positions 509 to 807 of the family's 1533-position model. The record is from RNAcentral.